Mycena capillaripes is the source of this 102-nucleotide non-coding RNA. The record is from the annotation of a GenBank genome assembly. NCBI's taxonomy places the organism in Eukaryota, Fungi, Basidiomycota, Agaricomycetes, Agaricales, Mycenaceae.
GCUUCCCUGGCUCAGUUGGUUAGAGCGCCAGUCUCAUAUCGUUAUGAGGAAUCAAGUGAUUCUUUAAUCUGGAGGUCAUGAGUUCGACCCUCAUGGGGAGCA